CCUUCGAUAGCUCAGUUGGUAGAGCGGUGGACUGUAGUUGCUUGAAUAAUUGAAAUCCAUAGGUCGCUGGUUCAAAUCCGGCUCGAAGGA
This 90-nucleotide transfer RNA is filed under the name Dendroctonus ponderosae (mountain pine beetle). It matches the Rfam family "tRNA". From Rfam's summary of the family: Transfer RNA (tRNA) molecules are approximately 80 nucleotides in length. Their secondary structure includes four short double-helical elements and three loops (D, anti-codon, and T loops). Further hydrogen bonds mediate the characteristic L-shaped molecular structure. tRNAs have two regions of fundamental functional importance: the anti-codon, which is responsible for specific mRNA codon recognition, and the 3' end, to which the tRNAs corresponding amino acid is attached (by aminoacyl-tRNA synthetases). tRNAs cope with the degeneracy of the genetic code in two manners: having more than one tRNA (with a specific anti-codon) for a particular amino acid; and 'wobble' base-pairing, i.e. permitting non-standard base-pairing at the 3rd anti-codon position. Lineage: Eukaryota; Metazoa; Arthropoda; Insecta; Coleoptera; Curculionidae. The record is from Rfam by way of RNAcentral.